CCUACGGGAGGCUGCAGUGAGGAAUUUUGGGCAAUGGGCGAAAGCCUGACCCAGCGACGCCGCGUGGGUGAUGAAGGCCUUCGGGUCGUAAAACCCUGUGAGAUGGGAAGAAGCCGUUGUGUGCCAAUACCACAUCGCGGUGACAGUACCAUCAGAGGAAGCCCCGGCUAACUACGUGCCAGCAGCCGCGGUAAAACGUAGGGGGCAAGCGUUGUUCGGAAUUACUGGGCGUAACGCGGGUGUAGGCGGCUUGGCAAGUCGGAAGUGAAAGCCCCAGGGUCAACUUGGGAACUGCUUUCGAACCUGCCAGGCUGGAGUGCAGGAGGGGAGAGCGGAAUUCCAGGUGUCGCGGUGAAAUGCGUAGAUAUCGGGAGGAACACCGGUGGCGAAGGCGGCUCUCUUGACCGUAACUGACGCUGAGACGCGAAAGCGUGGGUAGCAAACAGGAUUAGAUCCCCUUGUAGUC
This 466-nucleotide ribosomal RNA is filed under the name uncultured bacterium. RNAcentral describes it as "bacterial SSU rRNA". It matches the Rfam family "Bacterial small subunit ribosomal RNA", at positions 338 to 795 of the family's 1533-position model. The record is from RNAcentral.